This 784-nucleotide unclassified non-coding RNA is filed under the name Hevea brasiliensis (rubber tree). The record is from RNAcentral. Lineage: Eukaryota; Viridiplantae; Streptophyta; Magnoliopsida; Malpighiales; Euphorbiaceae.
UUUUUUUAAAAAAAAAUUUUUUUUCUAUAAUGUGCAGCAUGAUUUAAUGGGUAAAGAUAUAAUAGAUCGAGCAAAAUAAUAAGAAGAUAACAAACCAAGCCCCCAACCCUUAAACCAAUCAAACCCCAUAACAUUAAACCCAACUCAUAAACAAACCCUAUGAGUGCUGCUCUAGCAAAGCAUUCAAAGCUAUACAGAGCCGCCAUUGGUCACGGCUGUUGCCGGAGAUGGAACCCAUAGAGAGUUGUUCUUGGCUGUUGCUAGAAAUAGAAUAAACUAACAGGCCAACACUACGACACUACCUUUGCAACUAAGAUAAUUGCCUGUUGAACAAAAGCACCGCCUUGGACAUCAACCCACCAAUUGUUGGACAAGCUCAACAAAUCUGAAUUACCUAUCCCCAGGCAUGCAUGGACCCUCUAGAAGACAAUGGCCACCGACUUCAUCUGGUGGUGCUGCUCCAAAGAAACAAAACUAUUACAAAGGUCUCAAGAAAUAGCAUAUAAAUACUGGGAUGAGACAAAAUCGAUGAGCAAUGCCUUCCCUUGUCCGUAGGCAAGGGAAGCAAACGAAAACUCAAUGAAAAACUCUGUUGGACCAAGAAACGCAAACUCAAUCCGAAAAGAGUCUCUCUCUACAACUUACAAAGAAAGCUUGCCACGUACUAGUUUAUGCCUGUAAGCGUAACCUUGCUAGCUAUAGCCAUUGUACAUCCAUCCCUGCUGACCUGAUAAAAGAAAUGUGAGAAAAUAUCAAUUUUUUGGAUUUCAUUUUUCUCUCUUUU